This 72-nucleotide transfer RNA is filed under the name Selaginella moellendorffii. RNAcentral describes it as "tRNA tRNA-Trp". It matches the Rfam family "tRNA". Rfam says of the family: Transfer RNA (tRNA) molecules are approximately 80 nucleotides in length. Their secondary structure includes four short double-helical elements and three loops (D, anti-codon, and T loops). The record is from Rfam by way of RNAcentral. RNAcentral also lists the same sequence under 1 other name. Lineage: Eukaryota; Viridiplantae; Streptophyta; Lycopodiopsida; Selaginellales; Selaginellaceae.
GGAUCCAUGGCGCAACGGUAGCGCGUCUGACUCCAGAUCAGAAGGUUGCGUGUUCGAGUCACGCUGGGUUCA